RNAcentral lists this ribosomal RNA (629 nucleotides) under Rhizocarpon haidense. Its description in RNAcentral is "partial large subunit ribosomal RNA". It matches the Rfam family "Eukaryotic large subunit ribosomal RNA", at positions 272 to 921 of the family's 3401-position model. Lineage: Eukaryota; Fungi; Ascomycota; Lecanoromycetes; Rhizocarpales; Rhizocarpaceae. The record is from RNAcentral.
GUUUGGGAAUGCAGCUCAAAAUGGGUGGUAAAUUUCAUCUAAAGCUAAAUACCGGCCAGAGACCGAUAGCGCACAAGUAGAGUGAUCGAAAGAUGAAAAGCACUUUGGAAAGAGAGUCAAAAAGUACGUGAAAUUGUUGAAAGGGAAGCGCUUGCAACCAGACCUGCCCGCGGGUGAUCAGCCGCCAUUCAUGGCGGUGCACUCGCCCGCGAUCAGGCCAGCAUCGGUUCGGGCGGCCGGAUAAAGACCCCGGGAAUGUGACUUCCUCCGGGGAGUGUUAUAGCCUGGGGUGCAAUGCGGCCAGCCGGGACCGAGGACCGCGCUUCGGCUAGGAUGCUGGCGUAAUGGUUGUAAGCGGCCCGUCUUGAAACACGGACCAAGGAGUCUAACAUCUAUGCGAGUGUUUGGGUGUCAAACCCAUGCGCGGAAUGAAAGUGAACGGAGGUGGGAACCCGUCAGGGCGCACCAUCGACCGAUCCUGAUGUCUUCGGAUGGAUUUGAGUAGGAGCAUAGCUGUUGGGACCCGAAAGAUGGUGAACUAUGCCUGAAUAGGGUGAAGCCAGAGGAAACUCUGGUGGAGGCUCGCAGCGGUUCUGACGUGCAAAUCGAUCGUCAAAUUUGGGUAUAGG